UGGGGAAUAUUGGACAAUGGGCGCAAGCCUGAUCCAGCCAUGCCGCGUGAGUGAUGAAGGCCCUAGGGUUGUAAAGCUCUUUCACCGGUGAAGAUAAUGACGGUAACCGGAGAAGAAGCCCCGGCUAACUUCGUGCCAGCAGCCGCGGUAAUACGAAGGGGGCUAGCGUUGUUCGGAAUUACUGGGCGUAAAGCGCACGUAGGCGGGUAUUUAAGUCAGGGGUGAAAUCCCAGAGCUCAACUCUGGAACUGCCUUUGAUACUGGGUACCUAGAGUAUGGAAGAGGUGAGUGGAAUUCCGAGUGUAGAGGUGAAAUUCGUAGAUAUUCGGAGGAACACCAGUGGCGAAGGCGGCUCACUGGUCCAUUACUGACGCUGAGGUGCGAAAGCGUGGGGAGCAAACA
RNAcentral lists this ribosomal RNA (402 nucleotides) under Brucella melitensis. RNAcentral's name for it is "partial 16S ribosomal RNA". It matches the Rfam family "Bacterial small subunit ribosomal RNA", at positions 355 to 774 of the family's 1533-position model. RNAcentral also lists the same sequence under 3 other names. Lineage: Bacteria; Pseudomonadati; Pseudomonadota; Alphaproteobacteria; Hyphomicrobiales; Brucellaceae. The record is from RNAcentral.